Molecule: non-coding RNA, 577 nt
Organism: Miniopterus natalensis
Lineage: Eukaryota; Metazoa; Chordata; Mammalia; Chiroptera; Miniopteridae
Source: RefSeq, a predicted model, not a curated record
GUCUGCUGGCUGCUCAGGUGCUAUACAUCACUGGGUAAUUCAACUGCUUUACAGAAGGGCUGUUUUUUGUUUCUGUCUCUUAAUAUAUAUAUAUACCUCUAAACUGUUUUGAGAGCACUGGCUUAGCCCAGAGAGGUGCUGCAAGGAUUAGCUAAUUGAUUAUUUUAAGUGCUUUGAAACUGGCAGAGUUUAGUGAGAAGAAUGGGCUAAAUAAUUUUAGCAGGCUCAGUGGGAUAACACAUUCUAUCAAAUGGCUCCUAAUUUGCUUUGUUAUCUAGUAGGACUCGCUUAUUAGACAACAUGUCCCAUAAAAAUGAGUUAUAAAUGUUAUUGCAUGUAAAACAUGACCUGAGGAAAUGCUCUAAGAUGCGAAGAGGUGUUGGAAAGUACACAAAGCUUUCGUCAAAUGAAGCUGCAGCUACUGAAAGCACUUGGAUUUCUCUGACUCCAACAAAGCUCUGUGAAGCGUUUCUGCUCAAGAUCACCUACCUAAAAUAUCGCCACUCGUCACUCCAUCUCACCUUCCCCGAGCACUGUUUUAAAAUAUCCAGUCAAGUGGGAUGGAAAUGUCUGAGGU